RNAcentral lists this ribosomal RNA (497 nucleotides) under uncultured bacterium. Its description in RNAcentral is "partial 16S ribosomal RNA". It matches the Rfam family "Bacterial small subunit ribosomal RNA", at positions 28 to 507 of the family's 1533-position model. The record is from RNAcentral.
GAUGAACGCUGGCGGCGUGCCUAAUACAUGCAAGUCGAGCGAACAGACGAGGAGCUUGCUCCUCUGACGUUAGCGGCGGACGGGUGAGUAACACGUGGAUAACCUACCUAUAAGACUGGGAUAACUUCGGGAAACCGGAGCUAAUACCGGAUAAUAUAUUGAACCGCAUGGUUCAAUAGUGAAAGACGGUUUUGCUGUCACUUAUAGAUGGAUCCGCGCCGCAUUAGCUAGUUGGUAAGGUAACGGCUUACCAAGGCGACGAUGCGUAGCCGACCUGAGAGGGUGAUCGGCCACACUGGAACUGAGCCACGGUCCAGACUCCUACGGGAGGCAGCAGUAGGGAAUCUUCCGCAAUGGGCGAAAGCCUGACGGAGCAACGCCGCGUGAGUGAUGAAGGUCUUCGGAUCGUAAAACUCUGUUAUUAGGGAAAAACAAAUGUGUAAGUAACUAUGCACGUCUUGACGGUACCUAAUCAGAAAGCCACGGCUAACUACGUG